This 135-nucleotide small RNA is filed under the name Drosophila ananassae. RNAcentral's name for it is "GF26693". Lineage: Eukaryota; Metazoa; Arthropoda; Insecta; Diptera; Drosophilidae. The record is from RNAcentral.
AUCAAACACAAAAUAUGUUUCGCUUUUUAAAUAUAUUUACAGUUAUGAACUAAAUAAAGCAUUAUUUUCAUUUAAAUGUAAGGACUACAACAGAAAAUAACGGCCGGCGAUGUGCGCAGCAAGCAAGCAAAUCUA